CCUACGGGUGGCAGCAGUGGGGAAUCUUGCACAAUGGGCGAAAGCCUGAUGCAGCAACGCCGCGGGAGUGAUGAAGGCCUUCGGGUCGUAAAACUCUGUCCUCAAGGAAGAUAAUGACGGUACUUGAGGAGGAAGCCCCGGCUAACUACGUGCCAGCAGCCGAGGUAAUACGUAGGGGGCUAGCGUUAUCCGGAUUUACGGGGCCGAAAGGGUGCGUAGGCGGUCUUUCAAGUCAUGAGUUAAAGGCUACGGCUCAACCGUAGUAAGCUCUUGAAACUGGGAGACUUGAGUGUAGGAGAGGAGAGUGGAAUUCCUAGGGUAGCGGUGAAAUGCGUAGAUAUUAGGAGGAACACCAGUUGCGAAGGCGGCUCUCUGGACUGUAACUGACGCUGAGGCACGAAAGCGUGGGGAGCAAAUAGGAUUAGAUACCCUUGUAGUC
Molecule: ribosomal RNA, 439 nt
Filed under: uncultured bacterium
Lineage: Bacteria
Description: partial 16S ribosomal RNA
Rfam family: Bacterial small subunit ribosomal RNA
Source: RNAcentral